Molecule: ribosomal RNA, 465 nt
Filed under: uncultured Klebsiella sp.
Lineage: Bacteria; Pseudomonadati; Pseudomonadota; Gammaproteobacteria; Enterobacterales; Enterobacteriaceae
Description: bacterial SSU rRNA
Rfam family: Bacterial small subunit ribosomal RNA
Source: RNAcentral
CCUACGGGGGGCUGCAGUGGGGAAUAUUGCACAAUGGGCGCAAGCCUGAUGCAGCCAUGCCGCGUGUGUGAAGAAGGCCUUCGGGUUGUAAAGCACUUUCAGCGGGGAGGAAGGCGUUAAGGUUAAUAACCUUGGCGAUUGACGUUACCCGCAGAAGAAGCACCGGCUAACUCCGUGCCAGCAGCCGCGGUAAUACGGAGGGUGCAAGCGUUAAUCGGAAUUACUGGGCGUAAAGCGCACGCAGGCGGUCUGUCAAGUCGGAUGUGAAAUCCCCGGGCUCAACCUGGGAACUGCAUUCGAAACUGGCAGGCUAGAGUCUUGUAGAGGGGGGUAGAAUUCCAGGUGUAGCGGUGAAAUGCGUAGAGAUCUGGAGGAAUACCGGUGGCGAAGGCGGCCCCCCGGACAAAGACUGACGCUCAGGUGCGAAAGCGUGGGGAGCAAACAGGAUUAGAUACCCGGGUAGUC